Long non-coding RNA from Artibeus jamaicensis (Jamaican fruit-eating bat), 913 nucleotides. RefSeq lists it as uncharacterized. The transcript has 3 exons. The record is from RefSeq and is a predicted model, not a curated record. NCBI's taxonomy places the organism in Eukaryota, Metazoa, Chordata, Mammalia, Chiroptera, Phyllostomidae.
UUCAUGUGGUUAGCAGUUAGCGCAGUUAAGAAUCGUAGGGGAAAAAAAACCCUCCGUACCCGCAGGUGGGACAGUUCGGGAAUUGCGCCUGCGUUGCGCCUGCGCGGUCAGCAGUGAAGCUGGGAUGGGGAGCGCCGCUAGAGUCCCUGGCCUUUGUCCCGCACGCUGACCUGCUCGCAGCUGAGCCUCCCCCUCGCGUGACUGUCGGUCCACCUGCACGACGGGUUGGGGCCUGAGUCCAGGAGUCUGUCUCCCGCCUCGGCCCCUCAAACCCUGGAGUUUUGCUCCCCUCCCCGCCCCGUCCCCCGGCCCCUGGCAAGGGCCUGCUCUGCGUCUCUGAGGGUGAGAGCGAUUCCGCACGUCGGGUGGCCAAGGAAGAGCAGAGACGGAGUCGGACACCUGGCCCCUGAGAAGGGAGCUCGGACGCCCCCUAUUCCCUGCAGGGGGUCUGCAGAUUCCAGUGUUUCUGCACACACUCCAGGUGCUAGUGCAGCGCGGACGGUUUUCUCUUGAGAGGCCCCGGGCCUCCAGCUGCUUCGCCAGAGACACCAGGGGCCGGGACUCCAGCAGUGGACACAGCCUGGGAGAGAGACCAGCUGCCAGGAGGACCUUGCAUCGCCCACAGGGGGUCAAAGGUCUGAGCAUCUCUGUCCAGUGUAGUGUGGACUGUCUUCCUCUGCCUGCAGCCAGUGGAGUGCAGCAGAGCCCACGAGUACAAGGCAGGUGACCGUGAAGCCACAACCAGGAGGCGAGCCACAGCUGCACAGGGUGAAAAUGGCCACACAGACACAUUCUCCAGUUGUGACGAGAUUUCUUUAAUGCAAGCUGGUAUGACAGCUGUCACGAUGCAUUCUAACAAAACGGUUCCAAAUGACGUAAAGGCAAGUAUGUGAGACCAGAGCCAGGUGAUGGG